Molecule: ribosomal RNA, 465 nt
Filed under: uncultured bacterium
Lineage: Bacteria
Description: bacterial SSU rRNA
Rfam family: Bacterial small subunit ribosomal RNA
Source: RNAcentral
CCUACGGGAGGCACCAGUGGGGAAUACUGCACAAUGGGCGCAAGCCUGAUGCAGCCAUGCCGCGUGUAUGAAGAAGGCCUUCGGGUUGUAAAGUACUUUCAGCGGGGAGGAAGGCGAUAAGGUUAAUAACCUUGUCGAUUGACGUUACCCGCAGAAGAAGCACUGGCUAACUCCGUGCCAGCAGCCGCGGUAAUACGGAGGGUGCGAGCGUUAAUCGGAAUUACUGGGCGUAAAGCGCACGCAGGCGGUCUGUCAAGUCGGAUGUGAAAUCCCCGGGCUCCACCUGGGAACUGCAUUCGAAACUGGCAGGCUAGAGUCUUGUAGAGGGGGGUAGAAUUCCAGGUGUAGCGGUGAAAUGCGUAGAGAUCUGGAGGAAUACCGGUGGCGAAGGUGGCCCCCUGGACAAAGACUGACGCUCAGGUGCGAAACCGUGGGGAGCAAACAGGAUUAGAUACCCGCGUAGUC